This 217-nucleotide unclassified non-coding RNA is filed under the name Hevea brasiliensis (rubber tree). Lineage: Eukaryota; Viridiplantae; Streptophyta; Magnoliopsida; Malpighiales; Euphorbiaceae. The record is from RNAcentral.
UUCUAUAAAUUGCGUAUAGUUAAUCUUUUAUUUUUGCAAUGUCUAUUUCAGCUUUCCACUAGUGGCAGUGCCUCAUAUCCACAUCACAAUGUUGGUCGUGUGGAGCAGUGUGGGGCAACCACUUUUCGUGGAAAGCUGGUUUCUAUAGUCUAUUUUUAGCUUUUAAAUGCCGAAAUAUGGGAAAAUUAAAUAUUUGAUUUUUUUUUAAAAAAAAAAA